Molecule: ribosomal RNA, 468 nt
Filed under: uncultured bacterium
Lineage: Bacteria
Description: partial 16S ribosomal RNA
Rfam family: Bacterial small subunit ribosomal RNA
Source: RNAcentral
GACGAACGCUGGCGGCGUGCUUAACACAUGCAAGUCGAACGGAAAGGCCCUGCUUUUGUGGGGUGCUCGAGUUGCGAACGGGUGAGUAACACGUGAGUAACCUGCCCUUGACUUUGGGAUAACUUCAGGAAACUGGGGCUAAUACCGGAUAGGAGCUCCUGCUGCAUGGUGGGGGUUGGAAAGUUUCGGCGGUUGGGGAUGGACUCGCGGCUUAUCAGCUUGUUGGUGGGGUAGUGGCUUACCAAGGCUUUGACGGGUAGCCGGCCUGAGAGGGUGACCGGCCAAAUUGGGACUGAGAUACGGCCCAGACUACUACGGGAGGCAGCAGUGGGGAAUAUUGCACAAUGGGCGGAAGCCUGAUGCAGCAACGCAGCGUGCGGGAUGACGGCCUUCGGGUUGUAAACCGCUUUCGCCUGUGACGAAGCGUGAGUGACGGUAAUGGGUAAAGAAGCACCGGCUAACUACGUG